UUCAAGAUGAGUCAUUGGGGGGGUUGUAAAAUUGUGUAAUUUUCUUUUAUCAGCUUUUAUAUUCCAGCCAAGUGAGACAGCUGUCAUGAUUCCAGAAGCUACAUCUUCAGUUCGCAAGCCAAGAUAUGUUAGGAGGGAGAGGCCAUCAGCAACGUCAGCAUCAUCAGCAUCCAGCAGUGCUACUGUGGCAACAGGGGCAGUAACCAAGGUAUACAAUGUGUGACCAGCCUUCAAGGGCCAGCUAUGAGCACCCUUUUAAAACAUGGGUCUGUCCUAAAGCACUGUUUUCUUAUAGGAUUUACUUUUUUGGUGAAACUUUCCUUUGUAGGCUACAUGAAGAAGUGACAUGUCUUGAUGUAGGAUUUAUCUUUUUUAAUUCUCUUUUCUUUUCACUGGAGCAAGUUAUUUAUUUCUAUUUAUAUAUUUUUCACACAAUACAUUGUUCCUUUUUUUUAAGAGACCAAGUGUUGCACUACUAGAGUAUUUUUGAUUGUUAAGCUAUAAUGAAGUCUAGUAAGUUGUUUUUGAAAGAAUUGUGUAAUGUUUAUAUUUAUUACCAGUAUUUUUGUGUGAUAUUGUACUUUUGAGUCUUGUGACAUUGUAACUAGGAUUCAAAACAAGACUUCCGGAGUUAGUCAUAUUUGCACACUACCAACUCCUCAAACCUCAUCAAGUAAAAAAAAAAAAAAAAGACAUUAGCAUAUUUACCAUUCGGUUGAAAUCAUUAUUUUGUUCCUGUAUACACAAAUAAUAUAUUUUCUAUUAAUCCUGUACCAUCUCCACAAAUUCUGUUAGCACUUAUUAAUGCCAUAUACAUAUGCUGGAAAAUACCCUGUAUGAGUAUUGAAAAUACUCCUGGCUUGGGUUUCAAUGUUAACAGCAUAUUCAUGUUCUACUGAUAAGUGUGCAUGAAAUGUCCACCUGUUAACAAUGGCACAUUCUUCACUAUAUUCAACAUAAAGGGUUCUGGCUUGCACCAAAGUUUUUUCCCAGGUAAAUAAUGAUAAAUUCAAAUUUGCUAGGCCUUAAAGUUGCAAACUUGCUGUUAAUACACAAUAUAUAAGCAAAGUUGUGAAAAACUGUUGCCAAAAACAGAGCUAUUUAUCCCAUCUUGUAUAAGACAAAGUGCCAUUAAGUGAUUGUGCUAACGAAUGAAGACCUAUAGUCACCAUUUUUGAUUUUGUACAUUUUAUACAAAAUUAGAAUGUAAAAUUAUGAAAGAACUUUAGUAAAUUUAUCUUGUUUCUUGGUUGGAAAAAACAACAACAAACAAAAUGCUUGAUAUCACUGUAGUGUUAUAAAGCGAGUAAUACACUGGUAUUUCUAUAAAAGGACCGGAGAUGUCAGUUACCUUUGUUUUACUUUAUUUUGUAGAUGUUUAUUGCAAAUAGUGGCCUUUAAAAUGCCGUAUCAUCCCCUAUGCCUAUAUAUAUUUAUGGUUUUCGGUGUAGUUUUUAGGUUUUCUCAUUUGUAAUAAUGGUUCUGUUUAUUUAAAGGAUUAUUACGGUUUUUCUACACCUUUUCUAUUUCAUUUUAGGAAGGGUAUUUAUUUGAACAUUGUUUUGUAGAGUGUAAUAUCUUUAGUAUGCUGGAUUAAUCAAAAGCAAGGAUUGUUUACUUAAGGUGGAGGUAAAGGAUGUGGUUUCUUGGGGAUACAUCUGUGAUACUGAUUUAAAUUCAACUUAUUUCUCAUGUCAUUUUAUUGGCUGUUGUGCAGCAACUGGAAAGCAUGUCAGUAGAUUUUGUAUAUGAAUUAUGUUUAGAUGGAUGUUGAUUAUGAACUUUUUUGUAUGUUGAUGUCCUGACAGAGUGAGUAUUAAUCACAUAUUGAAUC
Molecule: long non-coding RNA, 1834 nt
Organism: Sinocyclocheilus rhinocerous
Lineage: Eukaryota; Metazoa; Chordata; Actinopteri; Cypriniformes; Cyprinidae
Exons: 4
Source: RefSeq, a predicted model, not a curated record